This 468-nucleotide ribosomal RNA is filed under the name uncultured bacterium. RNAcentral describes it as "partial 16S ribosomal RNA". It matches the Rfam family "Bacterial small subunit ribosomal RNA", at positions 28 to 507 of the family's 1533-position model. The record is from RNAcentral.
GACGAACGCUGGCGGCGUGCUUAACACAUGCAAGUCGAACGGAAAGGCCCUGCUUUUGUGGGGUGCUCGAGUGGCGAACGGGUGAGUAACACGUGAGUAACCUGCCCUUGACUUUGGGAUAACUUCAGGAAACUGGGGCUAAUACCGGAUAGGAGCUCCUGCUGCAUGGUGGGGGUUGGAAAGUUUCGGCGGUUGGGGAUGGACUCGCGGCUUAUCAGCUUGUUGGUGGGGUAGUGGCUUACCAAGGCUUUGACGGGUAGCCGGCCUGAGAGGGUGACCGGCCACAUUGGGACUGAGAUACGGCCCAGACUCCUACGGGAGGCAGCAGUGGGGAAUAUUGCACUAUGGGCGGAAGCCUGAUGCAGCAACGCCGCGUGCGGGAUGACGGCCUUCGGUUUGUAAACCGCUUUCGCCUGUGACGAAGCGUGAGUGACGGUAAUGGGUAAAGAAGCACCGGCUAACUACGUG